This 472-nucleotide ribosomal RNA is filed under the name uncultured organism. Its description in RNAcentral is "partial 16S ribosomal RNA". It matches the Rfam family "Bacterial small subunit ribosomal RNA", at positions 334 to 799 of the family's 1533-position model. The record is from RNAcentral.
CACUCCUGCGAGGCAGCAGUGGGGAAUUUUGGACAAUGGGCGAAAGCCUGAUCCAGCAAUGCCGCGUGAGUGAAGAAGGCCUUCGGGUUGUAAAGCUCUUUUGUCAGGGAAGAAACGGUGAGAGCUAAUAUCUUUUGCUAAUGACGGUACCUGAAGAAUAAGCACCGGCUAACUACGUGCCAGCAGCCGCGGUAAUACGUAGGGUGCAAGCGUUAAUCGGAAUUACUGGGCGUAAAGCGUGCGCAGGCGGUUUUGUAAGUCUGAUGUGAAAUCCCCGGGCUCAACCUGGGAAUUGCAUUGGAGACUGCAAGGCUAGAAUCUGGCAGAGGGGGGUAGAAUUCCACGUGUAGCAGUGAAAUGCGUAGAUAUGUGGAGGAACACCGAUGGCGAAGGCAGCCCCCUGGGUCAAGAUUGACGCUCAUGCACGAAAGCGUGGGGAGCAAACAGGAUUAGAAACCCGUGUAGUCCCAUG